AUCGGGAUUACUGGGCGUAAAGCGCACGUAGGUGGCUUGUUAAGUCAGAUGUGAAAUCCCCGGGCUUAACCUGGGAACUGCAUCUGAAACUGGCAGGCUAGAGUCUCGUAGAGGGAAGUAGAAUUCCAGGUGUAGCGGUGAAAUGCGUAGAGAUCUGGAGGAAUACCGAUGGCGAAGGCAGCUUCCUGGACGAAUACUGACACUGAGGUUCGAAAGCGUGGGUAGCAAACAGGAUUAGAUACCCUGGUAGUCCACGCCGUAAACGAUGUCUACUUAGUGGUUGGGCCCUUGAGGCUUAGCUUCCGGAGCUAACGCGUUAAGUAGACCGCCUGGGGAGUACGGCCGCAAGGUUAAAACUCAAAUGAAUUGACGGGGGCCCGCACAAGCGGUGGAGCAUGUGGUUUAAUUCGAUGCAACGCGAAGAACCUUACCUGGUCUUGACAUACACAGAACCUUGUAGAGAUGCGAGAGUGCCUUCGGGAAUUGUGAUACAGGUGCUGCAUGGCUGUCGUCAGCUCGUGUCGUGAGAUGUUGGGUUAAGUCCCGCAACGAGCGCAACCCUUUUCCUUUGUUACCAGCGGUCCGGCCGGGAACUCUAAGGAUACUGCCAGUGACAAACUGGAGGAAGGUGGGGACGACGUCAAGUCAUCAUGGCCCUUACGACCAGGGCUACACACGUGCUACAAUGGCGCAUACAAAGAGCAGCUACCUCGCGAGUGCAGCGAUCUCAUAAAGUGCGUCGUAGUCGGAUUGGAGUCUGCAACUCGACUCCAUGAAGUCGGAAUCGCUAGUAAUCGUGGAUCAGAAUGCCACGGUGAAUACGUUCCCGGGCCUUGUACACACCGCCCGUCACACCAUGGGAGUG
RNAcentral lists this ribosomal RNA (865 nucleotides) under Escherichia coli. RNAcentral describes it as "bacterial SSU rRNA". It matches the Rfam family "Bacterial small subunit ribosomal RNA", at positions 544 to 1412 of the family's 1533-position model. The record is from RNAcentral. Lineage: Bacteria; Pseudomonadati; Pseudomonadota; Gammaproteobacteria; Enterobacterales; Enterobacteriaceae.